UGAGGAAUAUUGCGCAAUGGGCGAAAGCCUGACGCAGCGACGCCGCGUGAAGGAUGAAGGUCUUCGGAUUGUAAACUUCUGUUAAGUGGGAAGAAAGAGUUGUCCCUAAUAUGGACAAAAUAUGACGGUACCAUUAGAGAAAGCACCGGCUAACUUCGUGCCAGCAGCCGCGGUAAUACGAGGGGUGCAAGCGUUAUUCGGAAUCAUUGGGCGUAAAGGGUGCGUAGACGGCUAUUCAAGUCAACUGUUUAAUUCUCCGGCCUAACUGGAGACCAGCGGUAGAUACUGAAUGGCUUGAGGUUGGAAGAGAGAAGUGGAAUUCUCGGAGUAGCGGUAAAAUGCGUAGAUCUCGAGAGGAACACCGAUGGCGAAGGCAGCUUCUUAGUCCAAAUCUGACGUUGAGGCACGAAAGCGUGGGGAGCAAACAGGAUUAGAUACCCUGGUAGUCCACGCCGUAAACGAUGAUCACUAGACGUUAACUCUGCUUGCAG
This 491-nucleotide ribosomal RNA is filed under the name uncultured bacterium. Its description in RNAcentral is "bacterial SSU rRNA". It matches the Rfam family "Bacterial small subunit ribosomal RNA", at positions 355 to 837 of the family's 1533-position model. The record is from RNAcentral.